AUUGAACGCUGGCGGCAUGCUUUACACAUGCAAGUCGAACGGCAGCACGGGCUUCGGCCUGGUGGCGAGUGGCGAACGGGUGAGUAAUACAUCGGAACGUACCCAGUAGUGGGGGAUAGCCCGGCGAAAGCCGGAUUAAUACCGCAUAUGCCCUGAGGGGGAAAGCGGGGGACCGAAAGGCCUCGCGCUAUUGGAGCGGCCGAUGGCUGAUUAGCUAGUUGGUGGGGUAAAGGCCUACCAAGGCGACGAUCAGUAGCUGGUCUGAGAGGACGACCAGCCACACUGGGACUGAGACACAGCCCAGACUCCUACGGGAGGCAGCAGUGGGGAAUUGUGGACAAUGGGCGAAAGCCUGAUCCAGCAAUGCCGCGUGUGCGAAGAAGGCCUUCGGGUUGUAAAGCACUUUUGUUUGGAAAGAAAAGGUUUGGGUUAAUACCCUGGACUGAUGACGGUACCAAUCGAAUAAGCACCGGCUAAGUACGUGCCAGCCGCCGCCGUAA
Molecule: ribosomal RNA, 500 nt
Filed under: uncultured bacterium
Lineage: Bacteria
Description: partial 16S ribosomal RNA
Rfam family: Bacterial small subunit ribosomal RNA
Source: RNAcentral